Molecule: transfer RNA, 76 nt
Filed under: Klebsiella pneumoniae
Lineage: Bacteria; Pseudomonadati; Pseudomonadota; Gammaproteobacteria; Enterobacterales; Enterobacteriaceae
Description: tRNA-Val
Rfam family: tRNA
About the family: Transfer RNA (tRNA) molecules are approximately 80 nucleotides in length. Their secondary structure includes four short double-helical elements and three loops (D, anti-codon, and T loops).
Source: RNAcentral
GGGUGAUUAGCUCUGCUAGGAGAGCGCCGCCCUUACAAGGAUGGGGUAGGCUGUUCGAUCCCGUCAUCACCCACCA